UACAGAGGGUGCAAGCGUUAAUCGGAAUUACUGGGCGUAAAGGGUGCGUAGGUGGUUGAAUAAGUUAGGUGUGAAAGUCCCGGGCUUAACCUGGGGAUUGCGCCUAAUACUGUUUAGCUAGAGUACUGUAGAGGGAGGUGGAAUUUCCGGUGUAGCGGUGAAAUGCGUAGAUAUCGGAAGGAACAUCAGUGGCGAAGGCGACUUUCUGGACAGAUACUGACACUGAGGCACGAAAGCAUGGGGAGCAAACAGG
This 253-nucleotide ribosomal RNA is filed under the name uncultured bacterium. Its description in RNAcentral is "partial 16S ribosomal RNA". It matches the Rfam family "Bacterial small subunit ribosomal RNA", at positions 524 to 776 of the family's 1533-position model. The record is from RNAcentral.